UCCAGUAAAAUGUCCACCAAUGACCAGAGAUACUGCAGAAACAUAUGGCUUCUUUAUGAAUGUUAUGCACGGAGUUGCCAAAAAAAGAACCCACUCAGAAGAACACUGAACAAUUUUCAUAAAACACUGCCACCAUCUAUCAGAGGAUCUUAGAAACUGAAAAUCACAGAAGAAGGAUUCAUAUUCCAGUAGUUCAGAAGCCUAUCUGUGGAGCAAGCUAAUCAGUCCCCAA
Long non-coding RNA from Alligator sinensis (Chinese alligator), 232 nucleotides. RefSeq lists it as uncharacterized. NCBI's taxonomy places the organism in Eukaryota, Metazoa, Chordata, Crocodylia, Alligatoridae. The transcript is spliced from 3 exons. The record is from RefSeq and is a predicted model, not a curated record.